This 492-nucleotide ribosomal RNA is filed under the name uncultured bacterium. RNAcentral's name for it is "partial 16S ribosomal RNA". It matches the Rfam family "Bacterial small subunit ribosomal RNA", at positions 29 to 507 of the family's 1533-position model. The record is from RNAcentral.
AGUGAACGCUGGCGGUAGGCCUAACACAUGCAAGUCGAACGGCAGCACAGUAAGAGCUUGCUCUUACGGGUGGCGAGUGGCGGACGGGUGAGGAAUACAUCGGAAUCUACUUUUUCGUGGGGGAUAACGUAGGGAAACUUACGCUAAUACCGCAUACGACCUACGGGUGAAAGCAGGGGAUCUUCGGACCUUGCGCGAUUGAAUGAGCCGAUGUCGGAUUGGCUAGUUGGCGGGGUAAAGGCCCACCAAGGCGACGAUCCGUAGCUGGUCUGAGAGGAUGAUCGGCCACACGGGAAGUGAGACACGGUCCAGACUCCUACGGGAGGCAGCAGUGGGGAAUAUUAGACAAUGGGCGGAAGCCUGAUCCAGCCAUACCGCGUGGGUGAAGAAGGCCUUCGGGUUGUAAAGCCCUUUUGUUGGGAAAGAAAAGCAGCAGGUUAAUACCCCGCUGUUCUGACGGUACCCAAAGAAUAAGCACCGGCUAACUUCGUG